GGAGGGAGUACAUAGCAACAUCAGAACUGUUAAUCAAAAUAUUUCUUAAGUUUAGGCAACUCUUUUGUAAAUUGAAAGCUAAUCUUUUGGUCUAGUGUGUAUUCUAGCCCUUCUACUAAAGUGUAAGUGCAUAAUUAUCAUAACUCUUGGAAUUUUCCAAAAUCGUAUGGCACGCCGAAAUCAUACUCCAUGCUGUGUCAAAUAACCACAUUCAUUCCUUUCACCAAUCGAUUGUGGUGGAACGCCAAAAAAAUUUGUACGGGUCCAUAUGAUUAAAAACAUGCAUAAAAAGGAAUCAUUUAGAAGUGUGCCUGAAAAGUAACGUGCAAGCUAUAGAACUUAGUUACGAAUAAGGGAAAUCCUAAGUGCUAAAAUGUAAAAUGACCAAAGAGAUAAGGUUAUCCUGCCAUGCUCUCUCUGCUCUUGUGCGGCACACCAUUUAGAUAGCGUUGGCUCGCCGCAGAGACAUCGCCGGCUCGCCACCGUGAGUUAUAGAGGUGGCGGGAGCAGCGAAGGGGCCGAGCGCUGCCGUGUGUCGUGCGACAGCCACACCGUAGGUAGCCACUCACGGCAACUACGCGCACGCACGCACCGGCCGCCGUCGCGCCGCGAGCUUCGCCUGUCCGCGCACUGCCGCAACCACACGUGAGUUCUUCCAACACGCACCGCCCAUGGUCGACCUGUGAGCCACACAUGCACCGCCGCGAAGCGCUGCUUGAUCCCCUCCAUGGACUCGUGCUCGCCGUCGCAGUCCGUCGCCCUAGCCGCGGAGAGGGCCAAGAUCCGUGGAGCUGCUCGUGGAGUGAGUAUAUCGUCCCCGUGCAUGUCUGGUGGGGUAUCGUUUGGUUGGGGCGUUGGGCGGCAGGGAUGGCGAAUUCCUCCUCAGGUGUCGGCGUGUCGCAGGUGGUGCAGCUCCUAUGUUUCUAGAAAUAAAACUUAUGAUUAUAUAUUAUCAUCUAAGGUGAAAUGUUGAAAGGGCUCUUGGAUUGUUUGCCUCGCUUAGGGUGGUGCGGUCUUAUAUUUCAAGAAAUAAAAUCUCAUGGUCAUAUGCUAUCAGUUAAGGUGAAUCCAUGAAAGGCCGCCUGAAUUGUAUGCCUUGCUCAGGUUGUCCAGCAGGUUCACUGAACUCUGCAUCAGCAAAAUGUAUCUGAAACCCACACCCCGAUUAGUUCCAACUGCGACGGGCGGCGGGCGGCGCAGUGCUCCGUUGCGUCCUGAGCAGGGGCGUGCCGCCGGCUAGCAUCGGUCUCCGGAGGACGUGCACGAACGCGCCCGCGACGGUGCUGGCCGUGCUGGGAUCGGGAACCUCCUCAAUGAUGCCGCAUUAAUUGCGCCAAGUAGAAACCGGAUUCACGGCCUCUACCAGUAUCUCCGGAGUCGUUAUAAUCACCUGCCUUUUCUGGCUAAUCACGGCCUCAAGUACUGUUUUAAACCGCAACUAGCAGCCUACAGCAUCAUCUGUUUGGCGCCAAGGCAGACUGAUGCAAGAUUACGGAGCUUAAUAAGCCUAGUGCCUACUGCCUAGGCACUAGGUAGCACUCAUGGCGGCCGCCGCGUUCGGGAGAGACGGACGAAUCCGCCUCCGCCUCCGCCUCCGGCGGACAGAAGCCUGCGUCGCGUACUCUACCUAUAUAUACCGGCCGCUUCGCCGGAGAGCUCCAUCCAGCCAGCCAAGCCAAGCCAAGCCAAGCGGGUCUGAUCGGAGGAGCAGAGGAAGAAGCAAAGCACGCGCACCGCCGGUCUGCAGCCACGAUGGCCCGCCGCAAGGUCCCCAUGAGGCUCAUCGAAAAGGCGCGGGCGCGCGCCGAGACGCACGCCAGGAGGACCAAGGGGCUGCAGAAGAAGGCGUCCGAGCUCGCCACGCUCUGCGCGGUCCCGGUCGCGCUCGUCUGCGCCGCAGGCGCGGGGGCUCCGCCGCUCGUGUGGGAGUCGGAGGAGGGAGUGCUCGAGAGGUACCGUCGCGCCGUCCCGGCGGAGACCCGCGCGCGGCACACGCACCGGAGCUACAUGGAGACGGAGCUGGGCAAGGAGAGGGCCAAGCUCGCCCGGACACGGCACGGCUGCCCCGGCGCGCUCGCGGACUGGGACGCUGCGCUCAACGACAUGACGCUGGAGGAGGCGCGCGGGCUGCUCGAGACCAUCGACGCGGCGCUGCAAGCCACGGGAGACAGGAUGGAGGCGCUGGGCAUACCUGCCGACGGCGGCCACGGCCCGCUCGAGGGUUCUUCCCACGAAGCCCUCAUGCCGCAGCAGCUUGGGCAGGGUGGCGGCAACCACAUGGAGGCCGCCGGCUUCCAGCAGCUGCAGAUGGUGCCGUUCCACGCUGGGAGCAACGAGGGCCUACUCGAGCAAUUCUCAUGGGACGAUCCCUUCCGGACGCAGUCAGGGUGCGUCGGCGGCAACUACUCGGGCGGCGGCGACGCGAUGCUCUCGCAAGGCCACGCCAAUGCCGGCUACAAUUACUCGGCCGGCGGUGACGAGAUGCUCACGCUAGGCCUCGCCAAUGUUGACAACAGCUACUCGGGCGGCGGCGACAAGAUGCUCGCGUCGGGCUUCGCCAAUUCUGACUACAACUACUCGGCCGGCGGCGACGAGAUGCUCACGCUAGGCCUCGCCAAUGCUGACUACAACUACUCGGCCGGCGGCCACAAGAUGCUCCCGUCGGGCUUCGCCAAUGCUGACUACAACUACUCGGGCAGUGGCGACGAGAUGCUCACGCCCGGCUUUGGCAAUGCUGACUACAACUGGGCUGAUCUGACCAUGUGGGCCACCGAUGAGUUGUGCGAUGCAGUCAUGCCACUUGGGUGCUACCCUGACUUCGCCGACGGUACUCUGCCGCCCGAUUACUACGCUCGGGUCGUCACUGAAUGGGGACUACGUCAACACACCACCAUCUGGCGGGUACGGGUACACCAUGGCCAUGGGCGUGGGCGACAACUUCACUCAUCUCGACAGCAACUACAUGGCGCACUGGCAUUCGACACAAGUAGUCUGUUGCUAGGCGAAAUGCAGUCGUAGUUUUCGAGCUAGAAUAUUUUAAUUCUCACACAUGUGAAGUUAGAAUUUUGCAGAAUUAUAUGAUUUAUCAAUAUUACGUGCAUGAUUUUGUACGGAAAUUUUGAAACAUUAACCAUCAGUUAUGGAAUUUUCACGAAAAGAGUAUGAGCUCCUCUUCACAAAGUUUCCUUUUUUGGAUAACGCUUCACAGUUCAC
RNAcentral lists this ribosomal RNA (3213 nucleotides) under Triticum aestivum (bread wheat). RNAcentral's name for it is "partial small subunit ribosomal RNA". Lineage: Eukaryota; Viridiplantae; Streptophyta; Magnoliopsida; Poales; Poaceae. The record is from RNAcentral.